This 8130-nucleotide long non-coding RNA is filed under the name Gossypium barbadense (sea-island cotton). RNAcentral's name for it is "long non-coding RNA (GBAR_LNC015484)". Lineage: Eukaryota; Viridiplantae; Streptophyta; Magnoliopsida; Malvales; Malvaceae. The record is from RNAcentral.
UCUCUCUUUUUAUGCUUCAAAAAUUAGCAUGAAAAGGUAAUGUAGUCAAAUGCAUUUAGAUAGAAAUCCACUGAUCAAUACCGGGUUUCUUUGAAAAUCUAGUAUACCUAUGAAAUUGGUGAUCAUGCAAAACAACCGAGUUAAUACUAAUAGGAAGCAAGAGUUUAAGAUUACUAUAGUUUCCGAGUAAACUAACCCACUCAAGCAUUGCUCCUUUCUGGCUAACUGUUUUUCCGAACUCAAGAGCCCUCAUUCCUGUUAUGAGCUCUAUCAAGAGAAUUCCAAACCCAAACGCAUCAGUUUUCUCUGAAGACUGGCCAGUUGAAAGGUACUCUGGUGCAAUGUGCCCAACAGUGCCACGGACAGCAGUGGUGACAUGGGAAUCAGCAUGAUCAAGGAGCUUUGCAAGGCCAAAGUCACCAACGAUGGCUUCACAAUAAUCAUCCAGAAGAACAUUAGCUGCCUUCACAUCUCUGUGGAUUAUUUUUGGAUCACAUUGCUCAUGUAAAUAAAGAAGUCCCCUCGCAGCUCCAAUUGCAAUCCUCUUCCUCGUAUUCCAGUCUAGAGCUGGUUUUCCUGCCAAACCCAACUCAAUUACAAGGUAUGCUAAAUUACAGUCAAGAAUCAUUUUCAAUUUUAAUACUACAUUAUGCUUGAGACUUGUUUGGAUUUUUGGCGAGGGGACAAUAUAAUAGCUUGUCAUGUCCAGUCUUAGACUAUAACCUAUUCUACUAAUCUGUUGUAGUCUGUAAACCAAGAACUAUAGUAGUCAUAAAACCUGAAAAAGCUAACUUGGUAAACAUUUAUAAAAAAUAGGAAUUAGAUGAUGCAGAUAAUGGGUCCUCCCUCUCGGUAUUUAUCGUUUCAUAUUCAGCCCCACUGAAAAGAAAUGAAAUACAGUAAUAGCUUAUGAAGGCAGAUUGUAAAAAUGAAUUCCUACAAGAGUUAGGCCAACAUACAAUGAAGACUAUUGUCAGCUAGAAACUAUUUUGAACAGUAAAUAAUUAUUAUUAGAAAAGGAAUAAUUACUCCAAACAUGGACGGGAUCCACAGACUGGGUCAUAAUAAUCAGAUUGUGCAGUUAUUCGACAAACAAAAUAGGUAAUCAAAUUGUCCAGCAUAAGAAUUGAAUGAAAGAAGUUUUAGCAAAGUAAAGCUAGGACCAACCUCUGAGCCUGGAUGCCACACUGCCAUUAGACAUGUAAGGGUAAACAAGAAGUCUCUCAUUAGAAGUAUCACAAUAUCCAAUUAAACGAAGCAGAUUGCGGUGAACUGCCAAGCUGAUCAUCUCCAACUCAGUCCUGAAUUGUGAUUCCCCAAAACUUCCUGUCAAGUCUUUUAGCCGCUUCACCGCCACAAGAGUAUCAUCUCCUAACUUUCCCUUGUAGACAUUGCCAAAACCUCCGGUGCCUAGAAUGUUCUUGGAGCUGAAGUUAUCUGUAGCAAACUGGAGUUCCCUGAAAGUGAAGUUUCUCAGGUUACCUAGGCUUAUGAGGCCUUCUUCUUGUUUGUCUGCAAUAUACGUGUGACAACAUUAAAUCAUAUUAAAUAAACAUAUAAAAGAAAACUUCGACAUUUAGUUUGUUAGUUGUCACCAACCACUAAUAUUCAGAAUCGUUAGCCUUUUUCGUUUGUUUCUGUGCCAAAGUAGGGCUAAUGAGAGGAGUAUGAGAGUGGCAAAACUGAGGCUGAUUCCAAGUGCAAUAGCUAACUUGUUGGAUUUUUGUUCCGCUGAUUGAUGAGGCAAAAAAAGAAACAUACAUAAACAAUUGAUAAGGAAAGGAUAAAGAGCUGUGGAGAGUUACAAGGAGGGUUUGAUACCAUUUGAUGAACCCAGGGAAAAUGAAAGGGGAUCAGCAUUGACAGAUCCAGAGCAAACUUCAGUUGAACUGCUUCCACAAAUCAAUGGAUUUCCCACAAUGCUACAAUACACGUACCAAUAGGCAAAAUUAAAACUAAAUUAUAAUAAUUGAUCAGAGAGCUAUAGCAAAUAAAUCAUACUUGAAAGUUCUAGCAGGGAACUUGGGUACAGGUCCACUGAGAUUGUUAUAGGAGAAGUCCCUGAAACACCAAUUAUCAGAUUCUGAAAAUCAAAAGCAGGGUUCAGGUAAACAUGUUAGAGAAAGAGAUGGGAAAAGAAAGAAAUUCACACUCACAAGAAAGCAAGUUGAGGGAUUUUUGCUAAAGAUGCAGGAAAAGGCCCAGACAAGCUAUUAUUGUUCAGCCUCCUGCUCUCGUUACAGGCCAAAACAAACAGAAGUUCAAAUACAAAAACAUAUAAACUUCUGUUUUCCUUCCUUUCAACUCUACUAUCCUUAGCAUAUAAACAGGAAACAAGUAAUUGAAAAGGAACUUACAGGUAUUGCAAACUAUUUAACUGUCCAAAUGACGCAGGAAUUUCAUUGGAAAAACGGUUGUUGGAUAGAUCCAAAGUCUGCAGUUUGGGAAGAGUUCCAAGCUCGGGUGGGAUUUUAGCAGAUAUGUUAUUGUUUUGCAGCAACCUUCAAAAUCACACCAGCAAUUUACAACAUAAAACAAAACGCAAACUUAAACAUUGCUUAAAAAUGUCAUGUCUUCUUACACUUGGCGAAGAUUGGUGAGAUUUCCUAUCGUCCCGGACAAAGUUCCUGAUAAGGACUGACUUGGUGCUCCCCUGAGAAAAAAAAGCCCGUUAAAAUGAUGAAACAGCAAAAACAUUUUAGCUUACUUGUACGAUGCUUUCGAAACAAGCAAGCAGAAAAGAGAGAGAGAGACUAACAGGCCAAUAACAAGGUUUUCAGAAGAACAAGUGAUCAUUGCCCAGCUGCAGGGAUCGACAGAGUCUUCAUCCCAGUUAUUUAACACCCCAUGUGGAUCAUUCAAUUCUCUCCUUAUACUUAUCAAUGCUUCCACUACAAUCCCACCAGGAAACAAAAAAAAAAAGAGAGAAAAUAUCAAACCCCAUAUGAAAGAAAAAAAGGACAAAAAUUACUUUAAAACAUGUUCCUUACCUUCUUGGUUACGAGGCUCAUAUGAAAAAGAAACAGUAGCAGAAGAAAGGAAGAAGAAGAGAAGAAGAGAAAGACUCAUUUUCAUGACUCAAUAAUAGUAAUACUAGUUAAAGAUGAACAUUUUCUCUGGUUUUAUAUUUUGGGUCUCAAACCAAAACACACAAAAAAGAAAAAGAAAACCUUGUCACUCUGUGCUGCCAAGCUUCCUUUCUUGGGUUCAUAACAGAGUCCCUCCCUUUUUCUCAGUCCACAAACACAACUUUUGAAAGAAACAAUACUUUAAUUUUGUAUAUAAACAAAUAAACAAAGUAAAAGUCCAAAAGACUCUCCAUUUUCCUUUUUGUUCCUAUAAAACAAAAUAAAAUAAAAACUGAAACAGAAAAAAUCAGGUGGGUGAUACGGGUGUCAGGAAGAGAGUGUGCAGAAAUUGAGAGAGACGUGAGUACUGUAAAUUUUGUACUUACUGGACUCCACUGCCUCAGUAUGCAACGUCUUUUUUAAAAAAAAUAGUUUGAUUCACUUUUUCUCUUAUUUAUUUCACAACCAAAACAUAAAAGAAGAAAUAAAGGGAGGGAAACAAAAAUGGAGUAGGUUAUGUAUCCGUAUUAGGUUGAUAACUCAGAAAAGGAGAGAAGAAGGGUAACCAAACAUCAGAAAAGGCUGAAGAAUGCAACUGAAGAAUAUAUGGGUAAAAAAGGAAAAGAAAAAGCAACUGAAGUUGCUAAAUUUUUCCUGGAGCAAAAGGCUCCAAUCUGGAAUUAAACCUCUAGUGAGGUGAAAUACAUUUUCAACGUACUGAAGAAUGCUUUCCAAACAGCCUUGCGUUUACUAACAUUUCAGUUGCAAUUUUUUUUAGCCUAAAAAAAUCAACGCACUGAGAACCAGUUGCAUCCAAAGGAAGCCUUAGUCUACUACACAAGCAAAUUCUUCUUUUUUGCUUUGUCGUAAGUUUAAAUUUUUUUAAAUUUAAAAUUUAAUUUUUAUAUUUUAAUUUUGAGACAUUAGGUUUUUUUAAAAAAAUAAUUUAGUCUCUCCGUCAGUUUAGCUGUUAGAAAUGUUGAUGUAAUUGUUAUAUAAAAGCUAAAAUAAUUUUUUUAACUUUUAUUAUUUACAAUUUUUUAUCAAUUUGGUUCUUCGUCGAUUAAUGCAGUGUUGUUCGUACGAAGGUUGAUGGAGUAUCCAAAGUUAGAUCGGUAAAGGUUGUUAAGCAACCCUACCAGGACCAAUGAGAUACCUAUGUUAGAACUAUAUGUUGAAAAAAAAUUCAGUUCGAAAAAAUUUAAAAAUUGAGUUGAUUUUUAGAUUUAUAGCAAAAAAAAAAUCCCUGAAAUAGUACUUGUGUUUUGGACUAGACGAGUCCUAGUCGUUCCUGACUUCCAACCAAACAACAUUCUCCACUACUCUCGUACUACAAACUGCUUCAAGUGUGGGCUCAAACAAUUUCGAAUCAAACACAGAACUAUAAAUAAUUUUCUUAUUUUCAAUAAGAAAGUAAAUCUCUCUCUUAUAGAAAUCGAUAGAAUUGUUAUUUUCGAAAAAUAUAAUUUAUACUUAGAAAUAAAUUCUAACUAUUUUCGGGUAGAAUAAUAAUAUCUCAAAAGUUGUGUAUAACUUCUUGUGUUUUUAGUCUAACAUGUGUCAUCUAUUUAUAGAGAGAAAACCUAGUUGAAUUAGUAGAAUGCAUUUAAUGCCUAUUUAAUAGAAAAACAAUCACUUAGUUGAACUAAGAAAGAGAGGGGCUAAUAGGUUGUAUUUCCCCUCAUAUGGAUUUUGAUGGAGAUUCGGGCCUCUCUUGUAUUGAAUCCAAUUAUAUGUGCUUCAUAAAUUUUUAACUAAACAUUUUAUAAUUUAAUCCAACCUAAUACAUGUUUUUUAUUUCCAAAAAUAGAUAUUAUUUAAUUUUCCAAUUAAAUAAUUUUCUCAAUCUAAUUCUAAUUUCUUUAAAAUCAUGACAGCUUUGCUAUAAAAGAAUCCAUGAGAAAAUAUAUUUAAUUUCUCUAUUAAAUGGAUUCACAAUGACCAAUAAAUUUAUUUCCAUUUUCGAAUUUUAAUUAAUUAAAUAACAAUUUAAAAAACUUAAAUUAAUUUUCAAGUCAUUUCCAUACUACGUGAGAAACCACAUUCAUUUUCGAAUGUAACAUAUUUCUCUAAUAUUAUCAUUUCUGUUCAAUUGAUUUAUCAUGCAAUUCAAUUUUUAUUUCAACGAGGUAGCGAAGAGAUCGAUUGGACAUAUGUGAUUAGGGCUCAAAUGAUUUAUAAUUAAGUUUCAACUUUUCGCCUAUUAAUUAUAAAAAUCAUUUUGUCACAAAGUUAUUCCACUAUAGUAUCGUGGUUGAGCUCUUCCAAUUACAUACCAUUACGAAAGUUACUCGUCCAUUAAAAAAGGAGGUAUUGGUUUGGAAAUAACCUACUAAAAUGUUGCAUUCAAAUUAUAUAUACACAAUAUCAUAUAUGAUUUUUACAUCAUGUAUAAAUGUGCAAUAUCAUAGAUGAUUUUUACUAUCAUUAUAAUAUCAUGCAUGAAUACUAAAAACUCUAUCAUUAUAUAUGAAUUUUAUUUUUAAUCAUUUUAUUUCUCUUAAAAAUUAUUUUUAAUUAAUAAAUAAAUAUAUUCUAAUAGAUAUAUGCAACAAACGCAUGCAUAGCACGAAAUAAUAUAUAUAUCCUCCAACAAUGUAAAAAAUAAGAAAAUAAAAAACUGUGACAAUUGUUUUGUGGGAGAGUCAAAGAUUCAUGUGGGCAAAGCUCUUUCUUUUCAGCUUUUGCCUUUAAAUUUUCUCAUCUCUUUGAAGCUGUCUGUUGCUUUUUCAACAAAAUCACAAAUUAUUUGCAAAAUUAGAAAAAUUAUUAAAAAGUUUUUAUGAACUUUUAAAAGUUUUAACUUUUUUUUAUGUAUUUUUAAAGAGAAAUGACCAAAUUAACAAAAAUUAUGAAUGUUGCAAGCUAAAAACUUUAUUUUUCCUUUUGCUUAUAAUUGUCACAUUAAUAACUCUAACUACGGAAUUAAGUAAAACGAUCAAGAUUUUUAAAUAAAAGAGUACAGAGAUUAAAUUUUAAAUUUUAAAUUUUAAAAUGGUAUAGAGACCUCUAAUAUAUUUAAGCCUAAAGAAUUAUAAUUCAAAUAUUACUCGAAUAAUAUAUUAAAGAACUUAAGAAUUUGAUUCACUAAUUUUCAUUAUUUAUUCAUUUUGAUUCAAGUAAAACUAAAGUCAUUAAAAAUAUAUAGUAUUAAUAUUACUCAUAUAUUUCAAAACCUUAAUAAUUUUAAAAUUUUAAAAUUUCUAACUUAAAAUAAUGUUUAAAAUCCAAAUAAAAAAAAUCAUAUGCCAGAAUCUCCAAGCAAGUUUUAAGUUUUAGUUGAGAAGCAUUGCGGACUAACAUUAGAGGUUAAAUUCUUCUAUUAGUGUUAAUACUCACUAAAAAUCUAAUUAAUAAAUUAAUGAUUAUCAUUUAAAUCAAUAUUAAAAUUUCAAAAAUCUAAAAAUAUAAAUAUUUGGAUGAUCCAUUUAAAAAUAUGAAUUCAAUUUAACUACUACGGUUUAAUCAUAAUCGGGAAAGUAAUCAUAAUCGGGAAAGUAAAAGACUAAAUCUGAUCAAAUAAAUAUAAAAUAAAAAUCUUUUACAAAGUAAAGGAGCUAAUAACAAAGUUGGUUAAUUUAACCAACAUUCAACUUUGAAGUACCAAAACGGGAGAAAAAGCAAAGGGCAAACAACAAGCGCAAGACACUGCAAAGACAUCCCCACCGCAUCCUCUCACUCACCUUUGACAAUUAUCCUUUCACUUUCACAGACAAGGCCAAAAUAAUAUCUCAAAUACCAAUAAUGCCAAUUUUCCUUUCAUUAUUUUUUCUCCAAAGGAAAAAAAAGUCAACCGUCAAACUCACUGAGUUUGAGCCUGUCCCUGUCCCUAUCCCUGGCCCAGACUUGGGAGCAGAGGCAUCUGAUGCUGUUUUUACCUGUAGUGGUCUUAUCCCCUUAUCUACACCCCCUAUUUGGCAGAAUAAGUUAAGAUUCAAUGCCAAAAACAAGUAAAAUAAAACAUGGUAAAGGCUAUUUACAUUACAAUCCCAGAAAAUAUAUAAUCUUUACCAUCAAAGUUUUUAAGCAUAACAUUGCCACUACACCUAUUUCUUCCUCUUCAAACUUGGGUGGAUUAAAGAAUUUAAUAAAGAAUUCAUCCUCUCUAUAUAUUUCACUUUCACCUCUUUUUCCCUUCUUGUUAUCUUGGACCAGAGAGUUCCAUGGCAUAGGAAUCCAAAGAAUGUUCAUCAUCAUCAUCAUCCAUUCCUGUGCCCAACUUGUUGCUUGAUUCAUCAUCAUAACUUUUUUCAUCAUGUUUUGAUCCAGUGGUAGGGGGCGCCUUACUUUUGUUACUGAAGUUGUUAGGAAAGUGGUUCAUGGUGGAAUUGCUAUGAUCAUGAGAUGCUGCCCAUUUCUCAGCAAGCCCAUCGCCUUCAAGCAUCCGGACCACCUCGGACAUUUUUGGGCGGUGGGCUGGAAGGUACUGAGUGCAUAGCAAAGCCACUUGGAGUAUCUCCCCCACUUCAAUCCUGUCAUAGUUGUUCCCUAGCUCUCUGUCCACCAAUACUUCCUCUUUCUUCUCUUUUUGUAUUUUCUUCACCUGUAACAACAAUAUUCCAAAUGUUCAUCAGCUUACUUCAUCUCUCUCUUUUUAUGCUUCAAAAAUUAGCAUGAAAAGGUAAUGUAGUCAAAUGCAUUUAGAUAGAAAUCCACUGAUCAAUACCGGGUUUCUUUGAAAAUCUAGUAUACCUAUGAAAUUGGUGAUCAUGCAAAACAACCGAGUUAAUACUAAUAGGAAGCAAGAGUUUAAGAUUACUAUAGUUUCCGAGUAAACUAACCCACUCAAGCAUUGCUCCUUUCUGGCUAACUGUUUUUCCGAACUCAAGAGCCCUCAUUCCUGUUAUGAGCUCUAUCAAGAGAAUUCCAAACCCAAACGCAUCAGUUUUCUCUGAAGACUGGCCAGUUGAAAGGUACUCUGGUGCAAUGUGCCCAACAGUGCCACGGACAGCAGUGGUGACAUGGGAAUCAGCAUGAUCAAGGAGCUUUGCAAGGCCAAAGUCACCAACGAUGGCUUCACAAUAAUCAUCCAGAAGAACAUUAGCUGCCUUCACAUCUCUGU